AAGUCGUAACAAGGUUUCCGUAGGUGAACCUGCGGAAGGAUCAUUCUUGUGUUCUUUGUAACAUUCACACACACUGUGUUGUUGUUUCCACCAUGUGUGGAUGGUUGCCAUGCCACACUCGGCGUGGCAAUCGUCCCUUAUAUUAUAAACACACGUAACCAAUGAAUUGAGUGAUACCUUUGAGUGCUAUAUAUACGCACUUGAAACAAAACAACAAUACAACUGUUGGCAACGGAUCACUCGGCUCUU
RNAcentral lists this unclassified non-coding RNA (249 nucleotides) under fungal sp. RNAcentral describes it as "partial internal transcribed spacer region". The stretch from base 1 to 46 matches the Rfam family "Eukaryotic small subunit ribosomal RNA", at positions 1786 to 1831 of the family's 1831-position model. The record is from RNAcentral. Lineage: Eukaryota; Fungi.